This is an RNA transcript of Coregonus clupeaformis (lake whitefish), 1941 nucleotides long. It is a transcript of the gene named follistatin-related protein 1-like, with no coding region annotated. The transcript has 10 exons. NCBI's taxonomy places the organism in Eukaryota, Metazoa, Chordata, Actinopteri, Salmoniformes, Salmonidae. The record is from RefSeq and is a predicted model, not a curated record.
AUGGUCACCUUCAAUGAGAUCGCUCUGUUGUUUAUGGCGGCAGAGGGGAAGAGCAAGUCCAAGGUGUGUGCCAAUGUGUUCUGUGGGGCUGGCAGGGGAGUGUGCUGUGACAGAGAAAGGGGAACCUUCCUGCCUGUGCAUCGAGCAAUGCAAACCUCAUAAGCGCUCUGUGUGUGGCAGUAACAGUAAGACCUACCGCAACCACUGUGAGCUCCACCGUGACGCCUGCCUGACCGGCCUCAAGGUCCAGGUGGACCACGACGGACACUGUGAAGAGACAAAGACAGACAAAGCUGUUGCUGCUAGCCCAAUCGUGGUGCUACCUGGCCAACAGGAACGAGCUGCGCAGCCGGGUCAUCCAGUGGCUGCAGAAUGAGGUGGUCCCUGACGGCUGGUUCGCCAAGGGCUCCAACUUCUCUGACAUCCUGCUCAAGUACUUCAAGGACUACGACAAUGGAGACUCCCAGCUGGACUCCACUGAGUUCCUUAAGUUCCUCCAGCACAACGAAACAGCCAUCAACAUUACCUCAUAUGCUGACGAGGAGAACAACCGCCUGCUCAGGAGCCUGUGUGUGGAUGCCCUCAUCGAGCUCUCAGAUGAGAACACGGACUGGAAGUUGAGCUUUGAUGAGUUCCUAAACUGCUUCAAGCCUGGCUUCAACCCACCAGAGAGAAAGUGUGCCCUGGAGGAUGAGACCUAUGAGGACGGGGCAGAGACUCAGGUGGAGUGUAACCGCUGUGUCUGUGCCUGUGGGAACUGGGUCUGCACAGCUGUGACCUGCGAAGGCACGAAGAAGGUGCCUGCUGUGGAGAAGACUGAAGGUGCUGACCAGGAGAUGACAGAGGAGGAGUGGACACGGAGAGUGGCUGAGCUCAACAAACAUCAGGAAACUGUGGAGAAGAUGAAAGUGAGCACUAAGGACAUUUGAGAGAGAGAGAGAGAGAGAGAGAGAGAGAAGCCCUCCUUCAGUCCCACCAUCAACAAUCACUAUCUGGCUGAAGCUUUGGAGCUUGUACUGUCGUUAAAGAAAUGCAUCACUAUUGUUUUUAUUUUUAUAUUUUACAAUGUUCAUUAUUAUGAUUUUUUAAAACUGUACCAAUGUAUAUUAUAAUAUUAUUGUGUAGAGGGGAGACUAGUUGAAUUGUGUGUACCUACAAACACAGUACUGUUAUCCUAUUUGAGUAACACUCCCAAGCCUUGGCAAGAAUCCCCAUCACCUAGUGGUGGGUUGAUAAUUUCAUUAUUUUUAGUUGAUUUGUUGUUUUCGUUGUUGUUUCUGUCAGUCAAAUUAGCUCAUCUGUAGAAAAUACAAGAGUUUGUGACUUGGAGCUAUAAAGAAAGCACAAGUUGUAAAUAACUACUUUUAGCAGAAAAUGACUUCACAGUUGCCACGUCACAUACCAACCACAUCACAGAGGAUUGAGAUAAGCAAUUCAGCAAGAAAGUCUUAUCAAAUGCAUUGACCUUACAGGGUGCUAUUCCAGACACCUGGGUAUUAUAUAGGGCCAGUAAAUCAUAUCAAAGAUGAACACAUGGCUGAAUUGUAAAUGUUUCCUGAAUGCCAUUAUAAAUUCAUCAACAGUGUGAUUACACUUGCCUGUCAGUGUUACUACUCAUAUCAUAUAUACAGUAAAACCCAUUGACCCAUAAUAUCUGAUGGUGCCAGGGUUCAAUCUGUUAGGAAAAGGAAAAUGAGGAAGGUCCGCACUCAGUCUUUGCAGUGAAAGACAAUAAUAUUUAUUCCAUCUCUAUUUUCUGGUCUAUGCACCAACAAUAUGACAAGAAUCUAUGAUUAGAUGUGUGCAGGGUUUCCUCCUUUUUCAAGGUAAAGUGAUGAUGCUAGGGUUCAAUCUGUAGGCUACAUGUCUGCACUGAUGAGGUAAUGUUGUCCAUCCAUUUACAAAUGGCUUUUCUAUCAUGGGGUUGUAGAUGUAUUACUC